UAGCCCGGCGAAAGCCGGAUUAAUACCGCAUACGACCUACGGGUGAAAGGGGGGGAUCGCAAGACCUCUCGCUAUUGGAGCGGCCGAUGUCAGAUUAGGUAGUUGGUGGGGUAAAAGCCUACCAAGCCGACGAUCUGUAGCUGGUCUGAGAGGACGACCAGCCACACUGGGACUGAGACACGGCCCAGACUCCUACGGGAGGCAGCAGUGGGGAAUUUUGGACAAUGGGCGCAAGCCUGAUCCAGCCAUGCCGCGUGCGGGAAGAAGGCCUUCGGGUUGUAAACCGCUUUUGUCAGGGAAGAAACGGUCUGGGUUAAUACCCUGGGCUAAUGACGGUACCUGAAGAAUAAGCACCGGCUAACUACGUGCCAGCAGCCGCGGUAAUACGUAGGGUGCAAGCGUUAAUCGGAAUUACUGGGCGUAAAGCGUGCGCAGGCGGCCAUGCAAGACAGAUGUGAAAUCCCCGGGCUCAACCUGGGAACUGCAUUUGUGACUGCAUGGCUAGAGUACGGCAGAGGGGGAUGGAAUUCCGCGUGUAGCAGUGAAAUGCGUAGAUAUGCGGAGGAACACCGAUGGCGAAGGCGAUCCCCUGGGCCUGUACUGACGCUCAUGCGCGAAAGCGUGGGGAGCAAACGGGAUUAGAUACCCU
RNAcentral lists this ribosomal RNA (649 nucleotides) under uncultured bacterium. Its description in RNAcentral is "bacterial SSU rRNA". It matches the Rfam family "Bacterial small subunit ribosomal RNA", at positions 144 to 788 of the family's 1533-position model. The record is from RNAcentral.